GCGGAAUAGUUAUUCCAUGCAUUCGUAAUGCGUAGGUCGGGGGUUCGAAUCCCUUCAUCAGCACCA
Molecule: transfer RNA, 66 nt
Filed under: Cohnella sp. OV330
Lineage: Bacteria; Bacillati; Bacillota; Bacilli; Caryophanales; Paenibacillaceae
Description: tRNA_Pseudo_CGT
Rfam family: tRNA
About the family: Transfer RNA (tRNA) molecules are approximately 80 nucleotides in length.
Source: RNAcentral